RNAcentral lists this ribosomal RNA (497 nucleotides) under uncultured bacterium. Its description in RNAcentral is "partial 16S ribosomal RNA". It matches the Rfam family "Bacterial small subunit ribosomal RNA", at positions 28 to 507 of the family's 1533-position model. The record is from RNAcentral.
GAUGAACGCUGGCGGCGUGCCUAAUACAUGCUAGUCGAGCGAACGGACGAGAAGCUUGCUUCUCUGAUGUUAGCGGCGGACGGGUGAGUAACACGUGGAUAACCUACCUAUAAGACUGGGAUAACUUCGGGAAACCGGAGCUAAUACCGGAUAAUAUUUUGAACCGCAUGGUUCAAAAGUGAAAGACGGUCCUGCUGUCACUUAUAGAUGGAUCCGCGCUGCAUUAGCUAGUUGGUAAGGUAACGGCUUACCAAGGCAACGAUGCAUAGCCGACCUGAGAGGGUGAUCGGCCACACUGGAACUGAGACACGGUCCAGACUCCUACGGGAGGCAGCAGUAGGGAAUCUUCCGCAAUGGGCGAAAGCCUGACGGAGCAACGCCGCGUGAGUGAUGAAGGUCUUCGGAUCGUAAAACUCUGUUAUUAGGGAAGAACAUAUGUGUAAGUAACUGUGCACAUCUUGACGGUACCUAAUCAGAAAGCCACGGCUAACUACGUG